Molecule: microRNA precursor, 249 nt
Organism: Medicago truncatula (barrel medic)
Lineage: Eukaryota; Viridiplantae; Streptophyta; Magnoliopsida; Fabales; Fabaceae
Rfam family: MIR2655 microRNA precursor family
Source: Rfam
CCCUUAACUAUUAAAAGUUUCGUUUUGGUCCCUUAACUUAUUUUUUGGUUUCGUUUUGGUCCUUGAACUUAUUUUUUGUUUCAUUUUGAUCCCUUAACUCUAAUACAUUCAUCCUAACAUAAAGGACCAAAGUGGUUGACGGAGGAUGAGUUAAGGGACCAAAACGAAACCAAAAAGUAAGUUAAUGGAUCAAAACGAAACCAAAAAGUAAGUUAAGGGACCAAAACGAAACUUUUAAUAGUUAAGGGA